This 710-nucleotide ribosomal RNA is filed under the name uncultured Candidatus Saccharibacteria bacterium. RNAcentral's name for it is "bacterial SSU rRNA". It matches the Rfam family "Bacterial small subunit ribosomal RNA", at positions 571 to 1292 of the family's 1533-position model. The record is from RNAcentral. Lineage: Bacteria; Candidatus Saccharimonadota.
GUAGGUGGCUUGUAAAGUGAAUAGUGAAACCUGGUGGCUCAACCAUACAGACUAUUAGUCAAACUCACAAGCUCGAGAGUAGCAGAGGUAACNUGGAAUUUCUUGUGUAGGAGUGAAAUCCGUAGAUAUAAGAAGGAACACCAAUGGCGUAGGCAGGUUACUGGGCUAUUUCUGACACUGAGGCACGAAAGCGUGGGGAGCGAACCGGAUUAGAUACCCGGGUAGUCCACGCCGUAAACGAUGGAUACUAGCUGUUGGAGGUAUCGCCCCCUUCAGUAGCGAAGCUAACGCGUUAAGUAUCCCGCCUGUGGAGUACGGUCGCAAGACUAAAACAUAAAGGAAUUGACGGGGACCCGCACAAGCGGUGGAUCGUGUUCUUUAAUUCGAUGAUAAACGAAGAACCUUACCAGGGUUUGACAUCCUUGGAAUUUCUGUGAAAGCAGAGAGUGCUUUAUUGAGCCAAGUGACAGGUGAUGCAUGGCCGUCGUCAGCUCGUGUCGUGAGAUGUUUGGUUAAGUCCAUCAACGAGCGCAACCCUUGUGAAUAGUUGUAUUUUUCUAUUCAGACUGCCCCGGUAACGGGGAGGAAGGAGGGGAUGAUGUCAGGUCAGUAUUUCCCUUACACCCUGGGCUAGAAACACGAUACAAUGGUUAGUACAAUGCGCAGCGAAGCCGCGAGGUGGAGCAAAUCGCAUCAAAGCUAAUCUCAGU